Molecule: ribosomal RNA, 502 nt
Filed under: uncultured bacterium
Lineage: Bacteria
Description: partial 16S ribosomal RNA
Rfam family: Bacterial small subunit ribosomal RNA
Source: RNAcentral
UUUGAACGCUGGCGGUAUGCUUAACACAUGCAAGUCGAACGGCAGCACGGUCUGUAGUAAUACAGAUGGGUGGCGAGUGGCGGACGGGUGAGUAAUACGCAGGAAUCUGCCCUAUAGAGGGGGAUAACUCGAGGAAACUCGAGCUAAUACCGCAUAGUCUCUACGGAGUAAAGCUGGGGCAACCUGGCGCUAUAGGAGGAGCCUGCGUCUGCUUAGCUAGUUGGUGGGGUAAAGGCCUACCAAGGCGACGAUCAGUAGGUGGUCUGAGAGGAUGGUGACCCGCACUGGGACUGAGACACGGCCCAGACUCCUACGGGAGGCAGCAGUGGGCAAUAUGGGACAAUGGGGGCAACCCUUAUCCAGCAAUACCGCGUGUGUGAAGAAGGCCUUAGGGUUGUAAAGCACUUUAGGCGGGGAAGAAGGUAUGUAUUUUAAGAGAUAACAUAUUUGACGGUACCCGCAGAAUAAGCACCGGCUAACUCUGUGCCAGCCGCCGCCGUAA